GAAAUGCGAUAAGUAAUGUGAAUUGCAGAAUUCAGUGAAUCAUCGAAUCUUUGAACGCACAUUGCGCCCGCCAGUAUUCUGGCGGGCAUGCCUGUUCGAGCGUCAUUUCAACCAUCAAGCCCCCGGGCUUGCGUUGGGGAUCUGCGGCUAACCGCAGGCCCUGAAAACCAGUGGCGGGCCCGCUGUCGCACCGAGCGUAGUAGCAAUCACCUCGCUCAGGGCGUGCCGUGGGCGCCGGCCGUUAAAACGACCAACUUAUACCCCCAAAGGUUGACCUCGGAUCAGGUAGGAAUACCCGCUGAACUUAA
Molecule: unclassified non-coding RNA, 308 nt
Filed under: uncultured Acrophialophora
Lineage: Eukaryota; Fungi; Ascomycota; Sordariomycetes; Sordariales; Chaetomiaceae
Description: sequence contains ITS1
Rfam family: 5.8S ribosomal RNA (bases 1-105)
Source: RNAcentral